RNAcentral lists this long non-coding RNA (1560 nucleotides) under Oryza sativa Indica Group (long-grained rice). RNAcentral's name for it is "lncRNA OsMH63_02G021250". Lineage: Eukaryota; Viridiplantae; Streptophyta; Magnoliopsida; Poales; Poaceae. The record is from RNAcentral.
AUGGCUGCAAGAGGAACCAAGAGGAAAUUUGAGGCCGCUGAACCUCCGAUCUGCUCCUCCCCUUCUUCGGCGUCGCCCAUCGACGUCGGUAAGCUGGGAGAGGAGUCCGUGGAGCUGGAAUCGAGCGAAGAUUCGACCAAAUCUUACCUCUUCGACGCUGCAUCCGGAGCCACUGCACAAGACGAUGUGGAGCUUGUCGCUCGUGCACUCUCCUCCGUAGCUGCGAAGUCCCCUGAAGCCGUUCGGCAGUUCAUCCGCCGCCUCACCCCGGAGAAGAUGGCCGGCGGAGGUCACACUCACUGGACUGAGGACGAACUCCAUGCGUUCUUGGAAAGCUGCAUGGAGGAAAUAGAAGCUCGCAACAUCACUUCGUCAUGCCCCAAGACUCAGGGGUAUGCCAACUUGCAGGCCAAGAUGCUGUCCAAGGCAGGGAAGCAUGUCAGCAAGCAGCAAGUGAAGAACUUCUGGGGUGCUUGUCGCCGCCGUUUCCAGACCUGGACAUGGUUGGAAUCGAUGGCUACAGGGCUGGGAACAAACCCGUACACCGGCAGCAUUGACGCCUCCCCAGAGUGGUGGGAAGCAAUGGAAGGGAUGAGAAAAUGUGCUAGGUCUUUCAAGAAUGCACCUCUCAGAUUCAUUGCUGAGCACCAUGCUGUCUUCAGGGGGAGCAGUUGCAGCCAGCCAACGCAGAACUCCUCGAUGUUGAGGACCUUGUCGACGUGCCAGAUGCGCCACAGUCACCUAAUCCACCAUCACGGUCAAGGCCAACCAGGGAGGGGUAGGGGCAAAAGGGUGGCAACACUGGCUAGUGGGUCUAGGGGUUCCAAAAGGACCCGCAGUGACUCCAUCGGUGAGGCUUUGCAUAGGCUCGCUGAUCUGAGGGUUAAGUCUAGUGAGAGUAAGGCACAAAAGCAGCGAGAACGUGAGGCUAUGAGUGCUCGUGCAUGCAUUGAGUUGGUCAAGUCUGAUGGGCACUUAUUUAGCUCAGAUGUUUACCACAUGGGGGUUUUGCUCUUUAGUGACCCAUACUUUUGCGAGUUCUUCCUAGGUGAUGCCAUUACCCCGGAGAUGCGUGUGUACUACAUUAGGUUCCACUAUGCCAUGAAGUUUCCUAAUGGUGGAGGAUUUUUCCCUCCACCAUCUUGCUCAGGGGGUUGGUUUCCACCUGGUGGUACACGGUAUGAUGGGGGUGAUGGGGGGACCCUGGGGAUGAUGGUGCUGGGGGAGCCGACGGAGCUGCAGUGUGUUGAGUGGCUGUGUGUUAUGGCCGUGCUGUGUGUGCCUCUGAUGAGCACCACCUCAGGGAACACUUCAGGGUCUAAAGAUGGAUACACAAGCGAGGAGGAUGAAACAAUUAUGGAGUUGUUGGCUGAUGCUUUUCAAAGGAAUGUAAGCACACGAGCACCAAGACGGGUACCUCAGCAGUCGGGCAUGCAAUGGGUUAUGGAAACAAUGAACAACCCAGAGCAGUGCCAUAACAUGUUUCGGAUGAGAGCGGACCAGAUUCACGCUCUCUACAAUCUCCUUGUGAGCAGGUACCACUUGCAUGGUACCUAUGAG